GACGAUGCGACGCCGCGUGAGCGAAGAAGGCCCUAGGGUUGUAAAGCUCUGUCAGGGGUUAAGAAAUGUAGAUAGGUUAAUACCCUGUUUAUUUGACAAAAGCCCCAAAGGAAGCCACGGCUAACUCUGUGCCAGCAGCCGCGGUAAUACAGAGGUGGCAAGCGUUGUUCGGUAUUAUUGGGCGUAAAGAGCAUGUAGGUGGUUUUGUAAGUCAGAUGUGAAAGCCUUCUGUUCAAAGGAAGAACGGCAUCUGAAACUGCAGAUCUUGAGUGUAGGAGGGGAGAGUGGAACUUCUGGUGGAGCGGUGAAAUGCGUAGAUAUCAGAAGGAACGUCGGCGGCCAAAGCGACUCUCUGGCCUAUUACUGACACUGAGUGUGCGAAAGUUAGGGGAGCAAACGGGAUUAGAUACCCCGGUAGUCCUAACCGUAAACGAUGGGCACUAAGUAGAGGG
RNAcentral lists this ribosomal RNA (452 nucleotides) under uncultured Planctomycetota bacterium. RNAcentral describes it as "bacterial SSU rRNA". It matches the Rfam family "Bacterial small subunit ribosomal RNA", at positions 385 to 827 of the family's 1533-position model. The record is from RNAcentral. Lineage: Bacteria; Pseudomonadati; Planctomycetota.